GUCAACGACCAUACCAUGUUGAACACACCGGUUCUCGUCCGAUCACCGAAGUUAAGCAACAUCGGGCAUGGCUAAGUACUUAGGUGGGUGACCACUUGGGAAAACCAUGUGUCGUUGGCA
Molecule: ribosomal RNA, 120 nt
Filed under: Anopheles funestus (African malaria mosquito)
Lineage: Eukaryota; Metazoa; Arthropoda; Insecta; Diptera; Culicidae
Source: RNAcentral